Molecule: long non-coding RNA, 790 nt
Organism: Megalobrama amblycephala (Wuchang bream)
Lineage: Eukaryota; Metazoa; Chordata; Actinopteri; Cypriniformes; Xenocyprididae
Exons: 3
Source: RefSeq, a predicted model, not a curated record
CAAAGAUGGCGGACGCGUUCACGUGUCUGGGGCAGUUGAAUGAGGAAACUAGUUUUACAUACUUCUAUGUUUAAAGUUCCGUGAAUUUGAGACUUUUUUUACAGUCUAUGUUUGAGACUGUAUUCGCCAACUCUGAUUUGAGCAAGUCGCGUGAGUGUGAUAGAGUAGGGUCUGUCAAGUCAAGUCAUAGGAUUAUCAAGUGUUUUCCAAGAGAUUGAAGAUGUUACUCUUCGUUGUAAUGAUCGGCAUUGUUGCUGUUGCUUUUGCUACAGCUGCUGGUGUUGAUGAUGAUAAAGAUGAGAUUGAGUCGCUCAGGGUUUCUGAAGGAGGAAACCUCACCAUCUCUAUUCACAUCAAUAACUCGGACGAAGAUCCUCAGGUUUUGGUUUCUCGUCUCAAAGGCAUCUCACAGGAAGCGAUAGCACAGCUGAUCUGCCAUAAUCGAGUCUGUGAGAGCGAAUACUGGAUAUCCUGGAGUUUCUCUGAGCUCUGAUGGAGAGAAUGUAACGCUCGAUCCUGAUGAACGUCAGAUACAAUCAAACGGGACGUUACUUGGUCCAAAAACUGAGCAGUGCACAGCUGGAACACAAGAUUUACAACAUUACAGUGUAUCAGCCUCAACUCAACUUGUCUCAUACACACACUCGACUCAGUACCGUCAGCCCUGAGCUGCUGACGUCUGUCACACACAGGAAAGUCAUUCACUGCAGGUGUAACCUCAGCUGCUGUGUGCUUCGUGCUGCUCAUCACUGCUGCUGUCAUCGGUGUCGUUUAUUUGAAACGCAGGAAG